This 482-nucleotide ribosomal RNA is filed under the name uncultured bacterium. RNAcentral's name for it is "bacterial SSU rRNA". It matches the Rfam family "Bacterial small subunit ribosomal RNA", at positions 29 to 511 of the family's 1533-position model. The record is from RNAcentral.
AGCGAACGUUUGCGGCGGGCUUAACACAUGCAAGUCGAACGAGAAUCCCUUCGGGGAGGAAAGUGGCGCACGGGUGCGUAACACGUGGAUAACCAACCCAUUGGUUUGGGACAACACCGGGAAACUGGUGCUAAUACCAGAUGUGUCGCAGCUGUCUUCAGGCGGUUGCGAGAAAGGCCCGCAAGGGUCGCCAACGGACGGGUCCGCGUCCCAUCAGCUAGUUGGUGAGGUAAUGGCUCACCAAGGCAAAGACGGGUAGCUGGUCUGAGAGGAUGAUCAGCCACACUAGAACUGAGACACGGUCCAGACUCCUACGGGAGGCAGCAGUGGGGAAUAUUGCGCAAUGGCGAAAGCCUGACGCAGCCACGCCGCGUGAGCGAUGAAGGUCUUCGGAUCGUAAAGCUCUGUGGGGGGAGAGAAGAAGCCGGUGAGAGCCGGCCUGACGGUAUCCCCUUAGCAAGCACCGGCUAACUCCGUGCCAG